Molecule: small nuclear RNA, 107 nt
Organism: Chionomys nivalis (European snow vole)
Lineage: Eukaryota; Metazoa; Chordata; Mammalia; Rodentia; Cricetidae
Source: RefSeq, a predicted model, not a curated record
GUGCUCGCUUCGGCAGCACGUACACUAAAAUUGGAACAAUACAAAGAAGAUUAGCAUGGCCCUGUGCAAGGAUUUAAAAAAAAAUACUUGAGAAAAUUCAAAGUACU